GUCGAACGGGAUACUGUGAGUAGCAAUACAAGCAGUGUCUAGUGGCGAACGGGUGCGUAACACGUGGAUACAUUCCGGGAAGCGGGGGAUAGCCCAGGGAAACUUGGAUUAAUACCGCAUGUGAUCGAAAGAUCAAAGACGGGGACCGCAAGGCCUGUCACUUCCCGAUUGGUCCGCGGCCUAUCAGCUAGUUGGCGGGGUAAAAGCCCACCAAGGCGACGACGGGUAGCUGGUCUUAGAGGACGACCAGCCACACUGGAACUGAGACACGGUCCAGACACCUACGGGUGGCAGCAGUCGAGAAUCUUUCACAAUGGGGGCAACCCUGAUGGAGCGACGCCGCGUGGAGGAUAAGGUCUUCGGAUUGUAAACUCCUGUCAUGCGAGAACAAGGUUGCAGGGAUAAUACCUUUGCAAAUUGAUGGUACCGCAAGAGGAAGAGACGGCUAACUCUGUGCCAGCAGCCGCGGUAAUACAGAGGUCUCAAGCGUUGUUCGGAAUCACUGGGCGUAAAGGGUGCGUAGGUGGCGUGGAAAGUCAGAUGUGAAAGCCCGGGGCUCAACCUCGGAAUUGCAUCCGAUACUACCAUGCUAGAGUACUGAAGAGGUGACUAGAAUUCUCGGUGUAGCAGUGAAAUGCGUAGAUAUCGAGAGGAAUACCAACGGCGAAGGCAGGUCACUGGGCAGUUACUGACACUGAGGCACGAAGGCUAGGGUAGCGAACGGGAUUAGAUACCCCGGUAGUCCUAGCAGUAAACGGUGCAUAUUUGGUGUGGGCGCAAUCGACCGCGUCCGCGCCGGAGCUAACGCGUUAAAUAUGCCGCCUGGGAAGUACGGUCGCAAGAUUAAAACUCAAAGAAAUUGACGGGGACCCGCACAAGCGGUGGAGUAUGUGGCUUAAUUCGAUGCAACGCGAAGACCUUACCUGGUCUUGACAUGCAUUGUGUCUC
RNAcentral lists this ribosomal RNA (948 nucleotides) under uncultured bacterium. RNAcentral's name for it is "bacterial SSU rRNA". It matches the Rfam family "Bacterial small subunit ribosomal RNA", at positions 61 to 999 of the family's 1533-position model. The record is from RNAcentral.